AUUGAACGCUGGCGGCAUGCUUUACACAUGCAAGUCGGACGGCAGCACAGAGAAGCUUGCUUCUUGGGUGGCGAGUGGCGAACGGGUGAGUAACAUAUCGGAACGUACCGAGUAAUGGGGGAUAACUAAUCGAAAGAUUAGCUAAUACCGCAUAUUCUCUGAGGAGGAAAGCAGGGGACCUUCGGGCCUUGCGUUAUUCGAGCGGCCGAUAUCUGAUUAGCUAGUUGGUGGGGUAAAGGCCUACCAAGGCGACGAUCAGUAGCGGGUCUGAGAGGAUGAUCCGCCACACUGGGACUGAGACACGGCCCAGACUCCUACGGGAGGCAGCAGUGGGGAAUUUUGGACAAUGGGCGCAAGCCUGAUCCAGCCAUGCCGCGUGUCUGAAGAAGGCCUUCGGGUUGUAAAGGACUUUUGUCAGGGAAGAAAAGGCUGUUGCUAAUAUCGACAGCUGAUGACG
This 457-nucleotide ribosomal RNA is filed under the name Neisseria flavescens. RNAcentral's name for it is "bacterial SSU rRNA". It matches the Rfam family "Bacterial small subunit ribosomal RNA", at positions 30 to 474 of the family's 1533-position model. Lineage: Bacteria; Pseudomonadati; Pseudomonadota; Betaproteobacteria; Neisseriales; Neisseriaceae. The record is from RNAcentral.